Molecule: ribosomal RNA, 468 nt
Filed under: uncultured bacterium
Lineage: Bacteria
Description: partial 16S ribosomal RNA
Rfam family: Bacterial small subunit ribosomal RNA
Source: RNAcentral
GACGAACGCUGGCGGCGUGCUUAACACAUGCAAGUCGAACGGAAAGGCCCUGCUUUUGUGGGGUUCUCGAGUGGCGAACGGGUGAGUAACACGUGAGUAACCUUCCCUUGACUUUGGGAUAACUUCAGGAAACUGGGGCUAAUACCGGAUAGGAGCUCCUGCUGCAUGGUGGGGGUUGGAAAGUUUCGGCGGUUGGGGAUGGACUCGCGGCUUAUCAGCUUGUUGGUGGGGUAGUGGCUUACCAAGGCUUUGACGGGUAGCCGGCCUGAGAGGGUGACUGGCGACCUUGGGCCUGAGAUACGGACCAGACUCGAACGGGAGGCAGCAGUCGGGAAUAUUGCACAAUGGGCGGAAGCGUGAUGCAGCAGCGCCGCGUGCGGGAUGCAGGCCUUCGGGUUGUAAACCGCUUUCGCCUGUGACGAAGCGUGAGUGACGGUAAUGGGUAAAGAAGCACCGGCUAACUACGUG